AGCGAACGUUGGCGGCGUGGCUUAGACAUGCAAGUCGAGCGGAAAGGCCCCGCAAGGGGCACUCGAGCGGCGAACGGGAGAGUAACACCUGGGUAACCUGCCCCGGAAACCGGGAUAGCCACUGGAAACGGUGGGUAAUACCGGAUGGUCCCCGCGCGUCGAUGACGUGCGGGGUAAAGGGACUUCUGUUCCGGGAGGGGCCCAGGCCCCAUUAGCUAGUUGGUGAGGUAACGGCUCACCAAGGCGACGAUGGGGUAGCGGGGCCUAGAGGGUAGGGUACCGACCCCGUCCCUACCUACGGGUACGGGGUACCGUAGGAACGAACCUACGUCCCGACCCGAACGUACCCUUACCCGGGUAACGGGGGCGGUCGUCGACGUACGGUCCGGAACGUAACUACUAACGGUCC
This 409-nucleotide ribosomal RNA is filed under the name uncultured bacterium. RNAcentral describes it as "bacterial SSU rRNA". The stretch from base 20 to 313 matches the Rfam family "Bacterial small subunit ribosomal RNA", at positions 47 to 358 of the family's 1533-position model. The record is from RNAcentral.